CCGACCUUAGCUCAGUUGGUAGAGCGGAGGACUGUAGUGGGAAUAUCCAAUCUGUAAUCCUUAGGUCGCUGGUUCGAAUCCGGCAGGGCGGA
Non-coding RNA from Cucumis sativus (cucumber), 92 nucleotides. The record is from Rfam. NCBI's taxonomy places the organism in Eukaryota, Viridiplantae, Streptophyta, Magnoliopsida, Cucurbitales, Cucurbitaceae.